RNAcentral lists this long non-coding RNA (1982 nucleotides) under Mus musculus (house mouse). Its description in RNAcentral is "long non-coding RNA chr12:84508167-84510149". Lineage: Eukaryota; Metazoa; Chordata; Mammalia; Rodentia; Muridae. The record is from RNAcentral.
UCAGACUAAGUAACAUUUAAUAGCAAAAUAAAUGGGAAAUGAAAUAAGUAAAGAGCAUGUAAGUGAGCCAGAAGUAAAAGAAAGCUGCCUCUAUUUGUUCAUGGAAAAACAGCUAAUUACUUUGAAUUAAAAUGUGGUUGUUUAUGGGGUUUGGCUUCUGUGUUAUAAAAUCUGUGACCAAAUAUCAAUAUAAUCCAAAAUAAAUAAUUCACAUUUUCUGGAUGAGAAACAACAAUUUCCAUCCAGUGAUGUGGAAAUGAAGCUCAAAAUUUAAGCCAUUGGCAAGGUGUUGGUAACAGAUUUGAGUAAGAAAUUUUAUUCCUUUCAGUCUUUGCUGCCUAGAUAUAUGUAUAAUGUUCCCGUAUGUAGUGGAGUUGUAACUCCUUUGGAAGAAAUAAAAUUAUAUAAUUCCCAUUAAUACAGUAUUUUAAAUAAUUAGACCUCUGGUAGCUGAGGGAUGUUAAUAGGUAGCAUUUUUUUAGCAUGACAUUGAAUUAAGCAUUGGUCUGGGUGGUCUCUCAGGGAAAGGUGAAAUUGAUGGAUCCUUUCUCAUUCCCAAGUGGCUGGUGUGAGAGCAGGUGGUGUUGGGAUGCUGCGUGUAUUCAGCAGUCACGGUGCAAGUCUGAUCAAGGCAUGUAUUCCCAAACCGCUCGGCCUCUGUCUCUCCAGGGGAGGGGCCAGUGCUGGCCUCUAUGCUUUUCUGUUUUGUUUUGUUUUUAAGAAAGAAAGAAAAAACUAAUUAUCAACCUAUAGCAUAUGUCAUUCACUCAAAUCUCUGAAGGACAAAGGCCUAAGUGACAAAUGUUCCUGGAGAGAGGGUUGAGCUGUCACCUGUCUUUCUAAGGAUCAUCUGUGUUUGGAUAUAGCAUUGCAUCCCAUUAUCUUUUUUUUGUUUUUUGUUUUUUUUUUUUUGUUGUUGUUGUUGUUUUUGGUUUUUUUGGUUUGGUUUUUCGAGACAGGGUUUCUCUGUAUAGCCUUGGCUGUCCUGAAACUCACUUUGUAGACCAGGCUGGCCUCGAACUCAGAAAUCCACCUGCCUCUGCCUCCCGAGUGCUGGGAUUAAAGGCGUGCACCACCACGCCGGCCUGCAUCCCAUUAUCUUUAUCGUGUGUUUCAUCUAAAUAAGUACUUGGGGGCUGGAGAGAUGGCUCAGCUGUUAAGAGCACUGACUGCUCUUCCAGAGAUCUUGAGUUCAAUUCCCAGCAACCACAUGGUGGCUCACAACCAUCUGUAAUGAGAUCUGAUGCCCUCUUCUGGAGUAUCUGAAGACAGCUACAGUGUACUUACAUAUAAUAAUAAAUAAAUCUUAAAAAAAGAAGUACUUGGUGUCUCAAAUCAAAAAAGACUUGGACAAUUUCUAGAAACCGUUUUGGAUUUGAGCAGCAUCCUAGCAUUGAGAAUGACGAAGGGUUGUCUGUCUCAUUGCUCUUUUUUUGUUUGUUUAUUUUGUUUUUUCAAGACAUUGUUUCUCUGUAUAGUCCCUGACUGUCCUGGAACUCACUUUGUAGACCAGGCUGGCCUCGAACUCAGAAAUCCACCUGCCUCUGCCUCCGGAGUGCUGGGAUUAAAGGCGUGCACCACCACGCCCGGCUUGUCUCAUUGCUCUUAAAGCGGUCAGGGUUUGCAGAUUUACUUAGCUGUUGCUAAGAUUUCACCUAUAUUCCUUUGCUUUUGAUUAAACUCAUUACAUCCCAUUUUUUUUCCUUCCCUUGACUAAUUGAGCUUUGAUCCUUGCUCUGUCCUCUGGGACAGAAUUAGGCACAAUGAGAAGUUAAAGAGCAGUUAGGGGGCUGGUGAGAUGGCUCAGCAGGUAAGAGCACCUGACUGCUCUUCCAAAGGUCCAGAGUUCAAAUCCCAGCAACCACACAAUGGCUCACAACCAUCCAUAACAAGACCUGACUCCCUCUUCUGGUGUGUCUGAAGAUAGCUACAGUGUACUUAUAUAUAAUAAUAAAUAAAUCUUUAAAAAAAUAAUAAUGCAU